Molecule: long non-coding RNA, 550 nt
Organism: Melitaea cinxia (Glanville fritillary)
Lineage: Eukaryota; Metazoa; Arthropoda; Insecta; Lepidoptera; Nymphalidae
Exons: 2
Source: RefSeq, a predicted model, not a curated record
UAUAUACGACGACCCCGCGAGGGUCGGUUAUUGUCCGUGCCACGUCCCUUAUCCCGUUGCGUUGAAAGAACUGAUACAUAACCUUAUUGAAACGUUAACCUAGGAUGAAUUGUAUAACUGCCAAUUAAUAGGUCCUCGAGCUAUUAUGUAUCGCGAUUGAUUCGAAAUUGUACAACAUAAUCUCUUUUGUUAAAAUAGUCAAAACCUAUGAAGUGGCAGUUAUAAUCGUGUUAAAUUAAUGUAAAUACACGACCUUAUAAAUAACUUAAAAUAAAAUUAUAGAACUAUUACAGAUAAUAUAAUCGUUAAGAUUACAUAGAUAAUAUCCUAUUCUUAUUUCAGUAGUCGCUCUAGUAACCUUAUACCUGCCUAAGAAAAGGAGGAAAUAUUUUCUUCGUAGCCGCUGCUGAUGGCUACACUGUCUGUCACGCGCAGUUUAUGUGAGAUAUAUAAAUAUAUACACUAUUUUAAUGUCUAAGUGACUACCUACACUAUUAAACUCUAGAUUUAUUCUUUGUCAUUUUAUAAUAAAAUAUAGUUGAAAAUUAAA